RNAcentral lists this ribosomal RNA (485 nucleotides) under uncultured bacterium. RNAcentral's name for it is "bacterial SSU rRNA". It matches the Rfam family "Bacterial small subunit ribosomal RNA", at positions 30 to 507 of the family's 1533-position model. The record is from RNAcentral.
AUUGAACGCUGGCGGCAUGCCUUACACAUGCAAGUCGAACGGUAACAGGGAGCUUGCUCCGCUGACGAGUGGCGAACGGGUGAGUAAUGUAUCGGAACGUACCAUUCAGUGGGGGAUAACGUAGCGAAAGUUACGCUAAUACCGCAUAUUCUGUGAGCAGGAAAGCAGGGGAUCGCAAGACCUUGCGCUGAUUGAGCGGCCGAUAUCAGAUUAGCUAGUUGGUGAGGUAAAGGCUCACCAAGGCGACGAUCUGUAGCGGGUCUGAGAGGAUGAUCCGCCACACUGGAAUUGAGACACGGUCCAGACUCCUACGGGAGGCAGCAGUGGGGAAUUUUGGACAAUGGGGGCAACCCUGAUCCAGCCAUGCCGCGUGAGUGAAGAAGGCUUUCGGGUUGUAAAGCUCUUUCGGCCGGGAAAAAAAUCGCAUCAGUUAAUACCUGGUGUGGAUGAUGGUACCGGAAUAAGAAGCACCGGCUAACUACGUG